CAGCCGCCGCGGUAAUACGUAGGGUGCAAGCGUUAAUCGGAAUUACUGGGCGUAAAGCGUGCGCAGGCGGUUUGUUAAGACAGAUGUGAAAUCCCCGGGCUCAACCUGGGAACUGCAUUUGUGACUGGCAAGCUAGAGUCUGGCAGAGGGGGGUGGAAUUCCGCGUGUAGCAGUGAAAUGCGUAGAUAUGCGGAGGAACACCGAUGGCGAAGGCAGCCCCCUGGGCCAACACUGACGCUCAUGCACGAAAGCGUGGGGAGCAAACAGGAUUAGAUACCCGUGUAGUCCCUGUCUCUUAUAC
Molecule: ribosomal RNA, 301 nt
Filed under: uncultured bacterium
Lineage: Bacteria
Description: partial 16S ribosomal RNA
Rfam family: Bacterial small subunit ribosomal RNA
Source: RNAcentral